RNAcentral lists this transfer RNA (69 nucleotides) under Choroedocus violaceipes. RNAcentral's name for it is "tRNA-Thr". Lineage: Eukaryota; Metazoa; Arthropoda; Insecta; Orthoptera; Acrididae. The record is from RNAcentral.
GUUUUAAUAGUUUAUUUAAAAUACCGGUCUUGUAAAUCGGAGAAAAGUCAACCCCCCACUUUUAAAACU